RNAcentral lists this transfer RNA (76 nucleotides) under Deltaproteobacteria bacterium. Its description in RNAcentral is "tRNA-Lys". It matches the Rfam family "tRNA". Rfam says of the family: Transfer RNA (tRNA) molecules are approximately 80 nucleotides in length. Their secondary structure includes four short double-helical elements and three loops (D, anti-codon, and T loops). Lineage: Bacteria; Pseudomonadati; Myxococcota; Myxococcia. The record is from RNAcentral.
GGGUCAUUAGCUCAAUUGGUAGAGCAGCUGACUCUUAAUCAGUUGGUUCUGAGUUCAAGUCUCGGAUGGCCCACCA